Non-coding RNA from Durio zibethinus, 1876 nucleotides. The record is from RefSeq and is a predicted model, not a curated record. NCBI's taxonomy places the organism in Eukaryota, Viridiplantae, Streptophyta, Magnoliopsida, Malvales, Malvaceae.
UUUAGUUCUUCUGGGUAUUGCUCGUUCCUAAAUAUUAUUAUAUAAUUGAGCAUCUUUGUUAAUCAAAUCCAUGUAUAGUGGUAAGUAUUCCCGUCUGUUACGCGGGAGACCGGGUUCGAUCCCCGACAAUAGCGUUCUUUUUCCCCAAAGCAGAAAGGCUGUUGGCGCAACUUUUACUUUUCUUCUACGCAUUUUCUAGGAAAAUGAAAUAGAAAAAAAAGGCCAUGAAUUUCACAACCUUAAACGAGCUAACUAAAACGUCCUCAGCAUAAUAGAAACAGAGAGAUAUCCGCCGUCUGAUCUUCCCUACUGAAACUCCCCUUCGUCCGAUCAUGACAACCAGCAUCCAUGUCACCGCCCUGGACAGUGUUGUGAACGUUAACUCCCUCUUCACGCUCGCCGUCUUCAUCGGCCUAACGUGGAACCCUUAUGAUUCCAGCAAUACCCUCGUCGACCCAGGUAGCCGAUGUUUCCCAAACUCAAAAAUCGCAGAAGACUUGAUAAAAUUCCACGUCUACUCCUUCAGUUCCUUCCUCUUCUCCAGCCUCGUCGCUUUAGCUCUUAAACAAGCAAUCAAGAUCUCCAAAACCCAUGCUUUUAACAUCGAUAUUAGGUUCCGUGGUUCUGAGUUUUUGGAACAUGUUGAUGUUAAUAAGACAUUACUUCGGGUCGGGAUGUUGGUUUCAGGUGCUGGGUCGGUGGCGGGAUGUGUGUUUUUGAUGUUGGCUUUGAUUAAUGUAGUUCAGAUAAAGGUUGGGACUUUGGCUUGUGGGAGUGGAUAUGCGUUUGCAGCGGUUGUUCCUCUUGUUAUUUUCGUUCCUCUUGCUCUUUUGAUCUAUGUUUGUUUCGGGCUUUAUGCUUUUACUCGUUAAGGUUUUGGUCUUCUUCUUCUGCUUCUUCUUCUUGGGAACCUUUGUUUUAUUGUAUGAUGUAGUUGGAAUUAUAGUGGAAUGAAGGGAUUAUGUUGUAACUUGGGUUUGUUGUUGUUGUAUGAUCUAGGUGGUUUUAUAAUGAAUCAAUAAAGAAAAGGUUUAAACUUUGAGAGAAUUGAGUUUUCUUGCUUAGAUUUUUCUUGAUUUGAAGUGUUUUUGGGUUUAUUUUGUUGCAUGAUCCAAGCUAGAAUUAUAAUGGAACAUAGCUAUAAAGAUUGGAACUUUGAGAAUUGUUGUUGAUGCUUCAUUUGGGUUUUUGGUUUCUUCUGGGGAUCUUUUUCUUGUACGAUAAAGUUGUUUUGAUAUUGUAUUUUAUCUUGGGCUUUUGAUUUUGUUGUUAUUAUUGUUGUAUAAUCUAGCUGAGAUUAUAGUGAAAUCUGGGUGUGAUCACAUUGAAAUUUUAACUUUGUAAUUUCAAGGAAAGACAUUUGUGUUCUUUCCGUACGACUAAGGAGAGAUCAUGAUGAAAAAGUGGGGUUGAUUGUCAUAAAGAUGUGAAAUGAACAUAUUUGUUAGACUUUUAGUUCGUAGUCUGCUAGAUCUGUUUGGGUUUUCGACAGAACUGAUGAAGAAAUUUUCUUUAUUAUCUAUUUUUAAUGGGUUGAGACAGUGCCGGUAUCAAGUUGGUGGAGAUCAGCUCUAGGUUUCAGAACAGUGAGUAGUGUUUGGCAAAUUUCUAGAGUUUGUAUUUCACCCACAUAUGAACUGGGAAACGAGUUGCUUAUUGAGGUUACUACAGGCAUUGAAGUCUUAGAACAUUGUUUUAAUGAGUUACAGAUGAGAAAGUAGCAGGAAUAAAGACCCAAAAACCACAAGCUUAUCAGCCCACAAACAUGCUAUGGAGGCAGAAUAGAAGAAGGGUUCAAUGGAGUGGAAGGACAUGAUGAUUAUGGUUCAUGUGGGAAACAUAACAUUGAGAAGGAAGCUGAGAAGCUGGCUCCUUG